ACUUGAGCUCUGGCACCACGUUGUCAAGCGUAUUGAUAUCUGUCACCUGACUCUUUGAGAAGGGAAAAUAAGAAGCCUCAUUACGUUCUCUGACUGAUUACCUCCACCAAAAUGUUCUGGGGACUGAGUUUUUGGUUGUAUACCUGAGCGUUCCCGUAAACCCAGGGUGCUGUGUG
Long non-coding RNA from Solea senegalensis (Senegalese sole), 176 nucleotides. RefSeq lists it as uncharacterized. The record is from RefSeq and is a predicted model, not a curated record. Lineage: Eukaryota; Metazoa; Chordata; Actinopteri; Pleuronectiformes; Soleidae. The transcript is spliced from 3 exons.